CUUAUCUCGAUCUCAUCUUCUCUUCUUUCAUAUACUUUAUUUUGUUAAGUUUAUUUUGUUUGAGAAUUUUUUUUAUGAUCUAAUUUUGUGUUUUUCUCCUAGAUGACAAGUGAAAGUGAAUAUGUCUUGGUGGACGUGCUCGGAUUAGGUGCUGCCGAGAAGUCACCUACUGGGAGCUCCCCUCCCAGUGGUAACAGCACAUCAUCUUCCGAGAAUGAAAAAAACAGGGAGCGCGGAUUCCAUUUGGAAUCUCCGAAAAGAGAAGAACAUGACAAAGAAAGUUGAAAGGAUCGAUUUGAUCUCUCGGGUGUGGAGGAGCCCCACAUAGCUGAGUUACUGAAGGAUCCAUCAUUGGGGGAAUUAUUGACCUCAAGCAAUUUGUAUCUACUUUUAAUUAAAGGUGAUAUUGUUGAUGAUGAUAAGGCAUUCAUUACUGAGACUAAGGAGCUGCUCCACUACAUAAUUCCAUUCCUUGGAGUUAAACAGCAGGAUUGCCCUCCAAUUUUGGAGAAUAUUUUGGAUGUCUGCAAGUCCGCUCAUCCUCCUCCUCAGAGGAUCUCGUUUGGUCAGCAAUUAUUACUGUUCCAUUACUCCAACCCAACUUUCGGUAUCUGUGUCCCCUCAUAUCGAGGCUGACACUAGCAUAUAAUAAUAUAAUAUUAUUCAUAUUAUAUUAUUAUAUAUGGGUUAAACCUAGUAUCAUUAUACUAAAUUUUUAUUAUAAGAUAGAGUUAAUCCCAGUUGCUUUCUAUAUUUCAAGGAGGACUUUUAUGAUACGUCAGUCAAUAUCCAUUCACUUUGAAUCUAAACCCAUUGCAUUAAACAACAACAAUAUUUAAAAUGCAGUUUUUACAAGAGAUCCAACUUUCUUAACAAGACAUUAAAAAAAAAAUAACAAUGCUCAAGACAUUAAAUCUUGAGUGUCAGCCUGGAUAUGAGGGGACUCAAUAUCCAUUCACUUUGAAUCCAAACCCAUUGCAUUAAACAACAAUAAUUUUUAGAAUACAGUUUUUAUAAGAGAUCCAACUUUCCUAACAAGACAUUAAAAAAAUAACAAUGCUCAAGGCAUUAAAUCCUGAGUGUCCCCUCAUAUCGAGGCUGACACUCAGGAGCAUUGUUAUUUUUUUUAAUGUCUUGUUAGAAAAGUUGGAUCUCUUAUAAAAACUGCAUUCUAAAAAUUAUUGUUGUUUAAUGCAAUGAGUUUGGAUUCAAAGUAAAUGGAUAUUGAGUCCCUUCAUAUCCAGGCUGGCACUCAGGAUUUAAUGCCUUGAGCAUUGUUAUUUUUUUUUAAUGUCUUGUUAAGAAAGUUGGAUCUCUUGUAAAAAUUGCAUUUUAAACACUGUUGUUGUUUAAUGCAAUGGGUUUGGAUUCAAAGUGAAUGGAUAUUGACUAACGUAUGAUAAAAGUUCUCCUUGAAAUAUAGAAAGCAACUGGUAUUAACACUAUCUUACAAUAAAAAUUUAGUAUAAUGAUGCUAGGUUUAACCCAUAUAUAAUAAUAUAAUAUGAAUAAUAUUAUAUAUCUAAAUUUUUUUAUAAAUUAAUUUAACUAAGUUAAACAAUGAAAUUUAAAAAAUAAUAUUCAUAAUGGAAAAAAAAUGACUUAAGUUAUAUUACAAUUGUAAGUUUUAAUUACACUACUUCAUAAUCAUGACUUCUCAACUUGUUAACUAUUUUUCAGACCUUGUUAAUUUGACUUCAUUAGUUCAUUAAUAUAAUACUCUCGGCCCGAAGCAAAAGAAUCCUAAUUCUCAAUCAAACUCUUGGGUAGCCUUUAUGCUUAUAUCUACUUUUUAGUGUUAGCCCACAUCUUUAUUCCAAAUCAAUUCAUUCUUUAUAGUGAAAUAGUGAUGGGCCAAAAGUUUUGAAUCCU
Arachis ipaensis is the source of this 1872-nucleotide non-coding RNA. NCBI's taxonomy places the organism in Eukaryota, Viridiplantae, Streptophyta, Magnoliopsida, Fabales, Fabaceae. The record is from RefSeq and is a predicted model, not a curated record.